This 495-nucleotide ribosomal RNA is filed under the name uncultured bacterium. RNAcentral's name for it is "partial 16S ribosomal RNA". It matches the Rfam family "Bacterial small subunit ribosomal RNA", at positions 28 to 507 of the family's 1533-position model. The record is from RNAcentral.
GACGAACGCUGGCGGCGUGCCUAAUACAUGCAAGUAGAACGCUGAAGGAGGAGCUUGCUUCUCUGGAUGAGUUGCGAACGGGUGAGUAACGCGUAGGUAACCUGCCUGGUAGCGGGGGAUAACUAUUGGAAACGAUAGCUAAUACCGCAUAAGAGUAGAUGUUGCAUGACAUUUGCUUAAAAGGUGCAAUUGCAUCACUACCAGAUGGACCUGCGUUGUAUUAGCUAGUUGGUGGGGUAAUGGCUCACCAAGGCGACGAUACAUAGCCGACCUGAGAGGGUGAUCGGCCACACUGGGACUGGGACACGGCCCAGACUCCUACGGGAGGCAGCAGUAGGGAAUCUUCGGCAAUGGACGGAAGUCUGACCGAGCAACGCCGCGUGAGUGAAGAAGGGUUUCGGAUCGUAAAGCUCUGUUGUAAGAGAAGAACGAGUGUGAGAGUGGAAAGUUCACACUGUGACGGUAUCUUACCAGAAAGGGACGGCUAACUACGUG